Molecule: long non-coding RNA, 379 nt
Organism: Bombina bombina (fire-bellied toad)
Lineage: Eukaryota; Metazoa; Chordata; Amphibia; Anura; Bombinatoridae
Exons: 2
Source: RefSeq, a predicted model, not a curated record
UUUCACAGCUAGAGGGUGUUAGUUCAUGUGUUCAUAUAAAUAACAUUGUGCACAUGGAAUUAUUUAAGAGUCAGCACUAACUGCCUGCAAUGCAAGUCUGUCAAAAGAUCUGAGAUAAGGAGACAGUCAGCAGAAGCUUAGAUACAAUAUGACAAACUUAGAAGCAGGAAAACUGCUGACCAGGCUGUUUGAGCCAGGCAACUAAUCCUGCUACAAAUGAAACUCCAUUUAAAGCUGGCAGAUGCUGCAAGACGACUGCAACAUCUUGAAAAGCAAUAUGUUAUGGGAUGCUCGGAUAAGAGAGACUAAACUUAAGUGUGUUCAAUAUGUAGCCUGGUCUCAAAUAGGAAAAUAAAAUGUCACAUCCUAUUACGGUAAA